Long non-coding RNA from Neofelis nebulosa (Clouded leopard), 1597 nucleotides. RefSeq lists it as uncharacterized. NCBI's taxonomy places the organism in Eukaryota, Metazoa, Chordata, Mammalia, Carnivora, Felidae. The transcript has 2 exons. The record is from RefSeq and is a predicted model, not a curated record.
UCUCCCGUAACGGCCCCUAAGUCAAAGAUCAACGGCCACCAGACAUUUUAACAUAAAACCAAGUUUUAAUAAGUGAUUUCUGCAAAGGUCUCAUCCCUCCAAAGAAGAAGACAGUCUUUCAGAAGAAAGUGGCUGGCCGGAAGGGCGCUGCAUUUGCCCAGACCUCCCAGACAUCUCGCCAACAAAACAAAACAAAACAAAACAAAACAAAACAACGACAACAAAAAACGCUUCCUUCUGGGUUGGUUUCUCUGUCGCUGCAAAUACCACACACGGAGAGCUGGCGCUCGGCUUCUGGAGAGCAACCCUGUGUAACAAAACUACUUACGGGAUCCAGGCGGGGGCAAGGCUUGGGCGAUGAGCUUGACGGUCUGACUCUUGCUUUCACUGACCAUCUGUCCCCCUCGGUGAGCCGUCCUUUCUGCCGACUUCACAGAGGAGCCAAGCGACCAACAGCAAAUUGCUCAUUUUCCAAACAAAAAUGCAGACAGUAAGAGAGCCUGUGUAAGCGGGGGUUACAAAUUGCUGUCAGGCCUGGGUGGGAAGUUGGGAGUCAGGAGCGAAGACUCAGGUUCUCUGCUGCUGGAAGGAAGGGAGGCGAUCUGUAAUUGAUGCUGGAAGGACAGCAGAGGAAUUCCUGGUAUGAGAAUUGCCAGCCCCUCUCUGCAUCUGCCGACACCAUGUGGCUGGCCCCUUAGUGGCCUGGGAGAUUACAGAAGGGGCUGGAAAGCUUGCUGUCUUUGUGAAGGGUAAACAUCUUCCUUCUGCCACCAAAGUGGUAGCAAUUGUGGCUCCGGGAUGGGAGGUUUCAAAACAAAAGUAGGCCAGUGCUGUUGGCCUUGCAUGGCCUCCAAGAAGAUACCGUCAGCUCUCAUCAGACACCAAUUUUCUAGUUUGUGGAUUACCCAGACUUUCAUUCUUCCCUUCUUCUUUGGCAGAAUCAAUCAAACAGAAUUAGAACCGGACAAUUUUUCUAUUUGUAAACACUUUAUAGAGAAGGUUUGGUUGUGGUAAUGAUUCAGGCCACUUACCAAAAUUGAGUUUUCAGAGUGUGGGUGCCUGUGAGUAGCUUUGCCCUUUUGAAGGGAAGUCUGAGGGGGAUGGAAAGCCUUGACCAACCAGGUCCCAGGUCUCCCCACUCCUUUCAGCUUUAGUCACGGUGAGGCCAGGAGGAGGAUUAGGCCUGUUCCUAUUUUAGCAUUUUUGGUCCCGAGGGGGAUCGUGGGUCCUCUCUCAAAGCUCUGGGCAGCAUGAUGGACUGGUGGGAUGCUCUUGGUGAAAUAACCUUUAGAGUUAAGAGGUAGGUUGAGGAUUAGGACCCCCCAGGGUAUAUGACCAUCUGAAUGUGUUGACUCCAUUUUUUAUACAAGGGAUUGACGAGGCUGCCAGGCUGUUUCUCAGGAGAAAUGCCCCCACAGACUAUGUGUCAUCCUGGAGCCCCAUACCCUAUUGACAUGGUGAAGUGAAUUCAGAAGGGGACUGUGGGCUUCAGUGGGCUCCGUGCUCUAAUCUCUCCCUCCCACGCUUCAGCUCCAUGGGCCACGGCAGCGCUGGGCCAGGAGAGUUUGGAGGGAAAUAAACCUGCAUUUGAAUUCUA